UAUAUACAGAUGAAUAGCAGAAGUGCCGGGACUUCCCAACUGAACAAAGGCUUCAAAUAUUAUAGUGAAGGGUUCAUUUAUAAUUUGCGAAGUCACCUUAGAGAGCAGUCCAGUGGUUAAAGUGGUCAGCGCCAGCUGCAGCUGUGCCAUAGGUCAGAGCCAGUGUUGUGGUCAUGUGACAGGUGUUUUAUAUCUGGUGGCCCACUAUAAGCAGAGAGGAAUGAAGUCCAUCCCACAGGAUAUUGCCAAGACCUCCAUGCCACAGACAUGGCACAUCCCUCGCCAGGACAAAAUAUCCGGUAUGUCAGUACCAGAGAUAAAGGUUUCUGGAUACAAGAGUGAUGGAGAGGACAGGCCAGUGAAAUCAACCCUUUACAACCCCAUUAGGUCUACCCUUCCACCAUUGGAACCA
Long non-coding RNA from Haliotis rubra (blacklip abalone), 412 nucleotides. RefSeq lists it as uncharacterized. The transcript has 3 exons. Lineage: Eukaryota; Metazoa; Mollusca; Gastropoda; Lepetellida; Haliotidae. The record is from RefSeq and is a predicted model, not a curated record.